ACCCGGGUGGGGCGGUUGUUCGCGUCCCAUUCCCAGCGACUUACGGCGCCUGACGGAGUCCGGCGUUCCACCCGCCGGCCGAGUA
This 85-nucleotide transfer RNA is filed under the name Streptomyces caelestis. RNAcentral describes it as "tRNA-Gly". The record is from RNAcentral. Lineage: Bacteria; Bacillati; Actinomycetota; Actinomycetes; Kitasatosporales; Streptomycetaceae.